RNAcentral lists this ribosomal RNA (470 nucleotides) under uncultured Bacteroides sp. RNAcentral's name for it is "bacterial SSU rRNA". It matches the Rfam family "Bacterial small subunit ribosomal RNA", at positions 34 to 493 of the family's 1533-position model. The record is from RNAcentral. Lineage: Bacteria; Pseudomonadati; Bacteroidota; Bacteroidia; Bacteroidales; Bacteroidaceae.
CGCUAGCUACAGGCUUAACACAUGCAAGUCGAGGGGCAGCGGGAUUGAAGCUUGCUUCAAUUGCCGGCGACCGGCGCACGGGUGAGUAACACGUAUCCAACCUUCCGUUUACUCGGGGAUAGCCUUUCGAAAGAAGGAUUAAUACCCGAUAGUAUGGUGAGAUUGCAUGAUAGCACCAUUAAAGAUUCAUCGGUAAACGAUGGGGAUGCGUUCCAUUAGGUAGUAGGCGGGGUAACGGCCCACCUAGCCUUCGAUGGAUAGGGGUUCUGAGAGGAAGGUCCCCCACAUUGGAACUGAGACACGGUCCAAACUCCUACGGGAGGCAGCAGUGAGGAAUAUUGGUCAAUGGGCGAGAGCCUGAACCAGCCAAGUAGCGUGAAGGAUGAAGGUCCUACGGAUUGUAAACUUCUUUUAUAAGGGAAUAAAACGCUCCACGUGUGGAGCCUUGUAUGUACCUUAUGAAUAAGCAU